Herpailurus yagouaroundi (jaguarundi) is the source of this 680-nucleotide long non-coding RNA. RefSeq lists it as uncharacterized. The record is from RefSeq and is a predicted model, not a curated record. The transcript has 4 exons. Lineage: Eukaryota; Metazoa; Chordata; Mammalia; Carnivora; Felidae.
CCUGGGUGGGCGCGCUGCACCCUGGGAUGUGUGGUCGUCCGAGGGUCACAGGCGGUGACUAGGAUCCCGCUUCCAGCGGCGUCUUGCAGCCAGUCCUACCUCCGGGGCUGUAGGCUGACGAGUCCUGGGGAACCUGUCAGCUGUUUAUCCCUCUUCCUGCGCUUGACGCUUCCCGGAGGGGUGGCCGAAUGAGGCUCACACGUCCCCAGCUCGGUACUACCCGCUUUCGGAAGUAGUGUUGGGGUAGCCUCUGCCCCGAGAGAAAGUACAAAACAGUAACAGCAAAAGUGAGUUGACCUUUGAUGCCACGUGCUGAGUUUUGCUUGCGUUCUCUCAUGCACUCUUCUCAACUCUCACAAAUAUAAAGCACAGAGUCUGUGGGGGGAGAAAAUCUUUCUGAUAAGAGAACUGUGCUGUUCAAUAUGGUAGCCACUAGCCACAUGUGGCUAUUGAGCACCUGAAAUAUGGUUACUUCAUAAAUAAUGAGCCUGAACCAGUCUGCUGAAGGAUGAGAGACCACAUGGAGUAGAGCCCAGAUGUCCCAAACCCCACUGGGCAAGAUUGACAUACAGCCAGCCUCCAAACAUGUUGAGAGGGCCAUCCAAGAUCGGAAGAACUAUCUACUGAUUCCUGGCUUGUAGUCUUCUGAGCAAUAAUAAAUGAUCCCUAUUUUAAGCCAC